GCCUUCGUGGUGUAAUGGUAACACACUCGGCAGGUAUUCGAGAGUUUCAGGUUCGAGUCCCGUCGAGAGCA
RNAcentral lists this transfer RNA (71 nucleotides) under Stegodyphus mimosarum. It matches the Rfam family "tRNA". From Rfam's summary of the family: Transfer RNA (tRNA) molecules are approximately 80 nucleotides in length. Their secondary structure includes four short double-helical elements and three loops (D, anti-codon, and T loops). Further hydrogen bonds mediate the characteristic L-shaped molecular structure. tRNAs have two regions of fundamental functional importance: the anti-codon, which is responsible for specific mRNA codon recognition, and the 3' end, to which the tRNAs corresponding amino acid is attached (by aminoacyl-tRNA synthetases). tRNAs cope with the degeneracy of the genetic code in two manners: having more than one tRNA (with a specific anti-codon) for a particular amino acid; and 'wobble' base-pairing, i.e. permitting non-standard base-pairing at the 3rd anti-codon position. Lineage: Eukaryota; Metazoa; Arthropoda; Arachnida; Araneae; Eresidae. The record is from Rfam by way of RNAcentral.